RNAcentral lists this ribosomal RNA (991 nucleotides) under uncultured cyanobacterium. RNAcentral's name for it is "bacterial SSU rRNA". It matches the Rfam family "Bacterial small subunit ribosomal RNA", at positions 545 to 1533 of the family's 1533-position model. The record is from RNAcentral. Lineage: Bacteria; Bacillati; Cyanobacteriota.
CCGGAAUCAUUGGGCGUAAAGGGUCCGCAGGUGGCCAAUCAAGUCGGCUGUUAGAGACCGGGGCUUAACUCCGGGCAGGCAGUGGAAACUGAUUAGCUAGAGUACGGUAGGGGUAGAGGGAAUUCCCAGUGUAGCGGUGAAAUGCGUAGAUAUUGGGAAGAACACCGGUGGCGAAAGCGCUCUACUAGGCCGAAACUGACACUGAGGGACGAAAGCUAGGGUAGCGAAAGGGAUUAGAUACCCCUGUAGUCUUAGCUGUAAACGAUGGAUACUAGGUGUAGCUCGUAUCGACCCCAGCUGCGCCGAAGCUAACGCGAUAAGUAUCCCGCCUGGGGAGUACGCACGCAAGUGUGAAACUCAAAGGAAUUGACGGGGGCCCGCACAAGCGGUGGAGUAUGUGGUUUAAUUCGAUGCAACGCGAAGAACCUUACCAGGGCUUGACAUGUCGCGAAUCUAGCGGAAACGUUAGAAUGCCUUAGGGAAUGCGAACACAGGUGGUGCAUGGCUGUCGUCAGCUCGUGUCGUGAGAUGUUGGGUUAAGUCCCGCAACGAGCGCAACCCUCGUCCUUAGUUGCCAAUAUUAAGUUAGGCACUCUAGGGAUACUGCCGGGGACAACUCGGAGGAAGGUGGGGAUGACGUCAAGUCAGCAUGCCCCUUACGUCCUGGGCGACACACGUACUACAAUGGUUGGGACAAAGGGCAGCAAGCUCGCGAGAGUAAGCGAAUCUCAUCAAACCCAGCCACAGUUCAGAUUGCAGGCUGCAACUCGCCUGCAUGAAGUAGGAAUCGCUAGUAAUCGCAGGUCAGCAUACUGCGGUGAAUUCGUUCCCGGGCCUUGUACACACCGCCCGCCACACCAUGGAAGCUGGCUACGCCCGAAGUCGUUACCCUAACCCUAAGGGGAGGGGGAUGCCGAAGGUAGAGCUAGUGACUGGGGUGAAGUCGUAACAAGGUAGCCGUACCUGAAGGUGUGGCUGGAUCACCUCCUUU